CAGUCUUAAAAAAAAAAUUUUAGAAUCCUCUGAAAUAGGAGGAAAAAGGGCUCUCCGGCCCCAACCUCAGGCCUCCGGCCACUGGACUGCGAAUGGCCACGCAUUGUAUGCGCCGCUGUGUACGGCGGUGGAAAGGCUAAAAGCCCUCCUUCCUCUUGGCCAAACGCAGGUUAACGGUGCGGAUCACGACGACGGUGAGGGAACUGAUAGUGGCUCGAUACGAGGUCUGCGGAUACUUGCUGCGCUGAAAGGUGCAGAAACCCUAGGGUUCCUGACCUAGGGUUAAGCAUUUGGGCCUUCGGGAUGCAGCUUAUUGGGUCUUAGGAGUAGGCUAAUCGGGUUGUAAUCGGGUACUGGGUUUUGGGUAGUUUAGCUGGGUCAGGGGUAGGAUUAGUCUGCUGGGCUUUGGGUUAAUGUGGUUGGGCCUGUAAAUGGACUGUAAUAAAAUAAACACUUAUUUAUUUUAUUAUUUUUUUGGGUUUUAUUUAAUUAUGGGCCCGGUCAAAUUUGGGCUAUUACAAUAAUCAUUCUAUAUACUAUCAAUAAAAUAAAAAAAUUACAGAAGAA
This is a long non-coding RNA of Gossypium arboreum, 567 nucleotides long. RefSeq lists it as uncharacterized. The record is from RefSeq and is a predicted model, not a curated record. Lineage: Eukaryota; Viridiplantae; Streptophyta; Magnoliopsida; Malvales; Malvaceae. The transcript has 2 exons.